Molecule: ribosomal RNA, 897 nt
Filed under: Psathyrella rhizophorae
Lineage: Eukaryota; Fungi; Basidiomycota; Agaricomycetes; Agaricales; Psathyrellaceae
Description: eukaryotic LSU rRNA
Rfam family: Eukaryotic large subunit ribosomal RNA
Source: RNAcentral
AAACUAACAAGGAUUCCCCUAGUAACUGCGAGUGAAGCGGGAAAAGCUCAAAUUUAAAAUCUGGUGGUCUUUGGCCAUCCGAGUUGUAAUCUAGAGAAGUGUUACCCGCGUCGGACCGUGUAUAAGUCUCCUGGAAUGGAGCGUCAUAGAGGGUGAGAAUCCCGUCUUUGACACGGACUACCGAGGCUUUGUGGUGCGCUCUCAACGAGUCGAGUUGUUUGGGAAUGCAGCUCAAAAUGGGUGGUAAAUUCCAUCUAAAGCUAAAUAUUGGCGAGAGACCGAUAGCGAACAAGUACCGUGAGGGAAAGAUGAAAAGAACUUUGGAAAGAGAGUUAAACAGUACGUGAAAUUGCUGAAAGGGAAACGCUUGAAGUCAGUCGCGUUGGCCGGAAAUCAGCCUUGCUUUUGCUGGGUGUACUUUCUGGUUGACGGGCCAGCAUCAGUUUUGACCGGUGGAAAAAGUCUGAGGGAAUGUGGCAUCUUCGGAUGUGUUAUAGCCCUUUUUCGUAUACAUCGGUUGGGACUGAGGAACUCAGCACGCCGAAAGGCCGGGUCUUUGACCACGUUCGUGCUUAGGAUGCUGGCAUAAUGGCUUUAAUCGACCCGUCUUGAAACACGGACCAAGGAGUCUAACAUGCCUGCGAGUGUUUGGGUGGAAAACCCGGACGCGUAAUGAAAGUGAAAGUUGAGAUCCCUGUCAUGGGGAGCAUCGACGCCCGGACCAGAAGUUUUCUGACGGCCCUGCGGUAGAGCAUGUAUGUUGGGACCCGAAAGAUGGUGAACUAUGCCUGAAUAGGGUGAAGCCAGAGGAAACUCUGGUGGAGGCUCGUAGCGAUUCUGACGUGCAAAUCGAUCGUCAAAUUUGGGUAUAGGGGCGAAAGACUAAUCGAACCAUCU